This is a non-coding RNA of Manis javanica (Malayan pangolin), 870 nucleotides long. NCBI's taxonomy places the organism in Eukaryota, Metazoa, Chordata, Mammalia, Pholidota, Manidae. The record is from RefSeq and is a predicted model, not a curated record.
UUUCAGCCGUGAAAUCAGGAAGCGAAUGUAGAUAGAGAAGAAGACGGCUCCACGGACUGAAGCUUGGGGGACUCCAAAAUGUGACAGUUAGAAAGAUGAAGAGGAACCAGGAAAAGGUACUCAGAUGGAGAUGCCAGUGAGGGAAGGAAGAGGAUCAACAGAAGGGUACAGGACACCAAGAGUAUUGUAUUCAAGAAGGAGUUUGUCAAAUGCUGCAGACACGAACGUAUUCACACCAAGAAAAGUAACUUCAGCAGAACUCUGAUUUCCGGUUUGAAGGAUGUAGAUGAUUUAGCAAUCCUAGAAGUUUUGGAUGAGAAUACAGUCUCAGAACAACUUGAGAAGUGUUAUUCCAGAGAUCAGAUUUAUAUCUAUGUGGGAGAUAUACUCAUUGCUCUUAACCCUUUUCAGAAUCUGGGUCUUUAUUCCACAGAGCAUUCCAAGCUAUAUACUGGAGCAAAGAGAACUGCCAAUCCUCCUCACAUAUUUGCAGUGGCUGACUUGGGAUACCAGUCAAUGGUAACCUACAAUUCAGAUCAGUGCAUUGUUAUUUCUGGAGAAAGUGGUGCUGGAAAGACUGAAAGUGCUCAUCUUUUAGUUCAGCAGCUGACGGUGCUUGGAAAGGUUAAAAAGGAGUUAAUAUAUGGAAAUCAAUUGUAUUUACCUAUAUAAAAGAACUGUUUAAACCUAAAUCUUACAAACUGUGCAAGAUGUCUAUGCUGAAAAGUAGAAAAAGUUGAUAAAAGAAAUAAAAAAGCACCUAAAAAAUGGAAAGAUACAUCAUGUUCAUUGUUUAAAGACUCAUAUAUUAAUUAAUAUGUCAGUUCUCCACAAACUGACCUGUACAGUCAGUGCAGUUAACAAUACAAA